GAGCAAGCUGACGCUCACCUCGGUCAGUGCGCAGUAUUCUUUCUCUUCGGGUUCAUCGCUGGAGCAAGACGCGAUCACACGCCACUCGCUGAGAAGUCGCGUUUCAAAAUUUUUUGAGCACAGAAAAUUGCUAAAGUGAGAUCUCAAGUCGUCUAGGAAGGAAAAAGCAACUUUUUCCCGGUGACAAAUUUUAAACUUGCGUUCCGCGCCUAAAACAGUGAAGAGCAGAGUUUAUUUUUAACGGAAUUAACCGCGUUCAGGGCUUGUUUUAAAGUCUAGAAAAGUGUAGUUCAGUGUUGGAAGAAAAAAGUAAAAUGGCCGAUCAGGAUCAAGAGAUGAACGGAAACGGUCAGGAAUCCCAGGACCAGAACGGAGGCGACCAGAAUGGAGCCGAGGGCAGCAACGUUCGCGAUGACGACAGAAAAUUAUUCGUUGGUGGACUUAGUUGGGAAACAUCAGACAAGGAACUGAAGGAACACUUCGGCCAGUACGGUGAGAUCGAGAGCAUAAACGUCAAGACAGACCCCAACACGGGCCGCUCGCGAGGAUUCGCCUUCAUCGUGUACAAGAGCGCCGAUUCGAUCGACAAGGUUGUGGCCGCCGGCGACCAUGUUAUCAACAACAAGAAGGUCGACCCCAAGAAGGCCAAGGCCCGCCACGGCAAGAUCUUCGUCGGUGGACUGACCACCGAGAUCAGCGAUGAGGAGAUCAAGACCUUCUUCGGACAGUUUGGCAACAUCGUCGAAGUCGAGAUGCCAUUCGACAAGCAGAAGAACCAACGCAAGGGCUUCUGUUUCAUCACCUUCGACUCCGAACAGGUGGUGAACGAACUGCUCAAGACGCCAAAGCAGACCAUCUCCGGCAAGGAGGUGGACGUCAAGAAGGCCACUCCCAAGCCCGACAACAUGCACAUGGGUGGCCCGAUGGGCGGCCGCGGUGGCAUGCGAGGCCCGCCACGAGGCGGUAUGCGAGGUGGACGCGGGGGACCUGGAGGACCCAAAGGCUACGGACAAGGCUGGGGCAACCAGGGGGGAUACGGAGGUGGCGGCUACGGCAACCAGGGCGGAUAUGGAUACGGUGACUAUUAUGGCGAUUGGGCGGGAUGGGGCUACAACGGUUAUGAUUACUCCCACUACGACGAUUACUAUGGAGGUUACAACGAUGGUUAUGGCAACGGCGGUGGUCGACCUGGUGGCCCUCGCGGGGGCAAAGGUGCCGGUGGUGGCGGUUAUCAGGGUGGAAAGCAGCGAGGCGGAGGCGGUGGCAACCGCCAGCCAAGGCAUACGCCGUACUAAAGAGUCCCGCAAACCGUUGGACACCCUCUGUCCUUUCCCAACUUUUAAUUACUAUAGAUUAGUAGUUUAGCGCCCCUCCCCCCAAACAAGAAACAACCAAUCCCUUACUAGCAAGAUAAGUCCCCAGUAACACAAUUCCUAAUUUGAGAUCCAAGAAGACAGCGAGAGCGAAACAAGUAUGCAAGAGCAUAAGUGGAGCGUGUGAUGAACUGAAUAAAAAAAUCGUAGAAGGAUAGAAUUCUUCCGCUACACACACAAACACUGAGUACACAUGGGACUUCCCGUCCACCCAGUACUAGAGGAGAGGAGAAGGAAGGCAGCAACAGUUGCUCACCUUCCAUGGAUCCCAGUUACCAUACUUUGCCCAUACAUGUGCAUAAUCUGGAUGUGCUCUGGUUGGCUGUUUGGAAUGAAGAUAAUCCCCCCUUAGGUUCUAUUAUACUCGUAAAACCCAAAAAAAAAAACAUGACUGAAGAAUAAAUUUAGUUGGCGUGGCCGCCCCCACUCUCGUCAUAACUCGUAUAUAUGUAUUUAAAGUGCAUGCAAAACAGGCACGGUAAAACUAAGACAAAUUGGAGAUACUUAACAAUGCGUCCAUUGGCAGACGUGGUCCUGGACCGACCCCCUGGACAGGAGGAAGAUCGUGGAGAUUGUAAUCUUAAAAAAAAAAAAAUACUGUUGAACAUUUUUUUCCUUGUGGCAUUUAAAAAGAAAGAAGAAAGCGAUUAUUUUCCGUGUAGCAGACUAGUAAAACGUAAGCGCAGCCUACUAUAAACAGCAGCAUAGAAGCUGAUGGACAAACCGAACAAAUAGAUUGUAUUUCCCCAACACCCCUAAUUUAUGUAUUUGACCCCCUACUACUCCCCCACAUAGCUAGUAAGAGGACAGAUAAAUUCAAACAAAACAAAUUAACUAUUUACAUAUAUUUUAUGUAGAAACAAGACUCCAAACUACAACAUCUUCUCUGUAAUGUAUUAUAUUUUUAAAACACACACACACACUUAUACUGAAUAAAGAAGCAGUCUCAGUCGCCAAACAAUAA
RNA transcript from Aedes albopictus (Asian tiger mosquito), 2337 nucleotides. It is a transcript of the gene named RNA-binding protein squid, with no coding region annotated. Lineage: Eukaryota; Metazoa; Arthropoda; Insecta; Diptera; Culicidae. The transcript has 8 exons. The record is from RefSeq and is a predicted model, not a curated record.